CUCAUAUACAAAAAUUUUAGUCAUCUUUUUCCUUUCUCUCACACACACAUGUUUGUCCCCAUAUAUACAUUUCAUUUUCUUUCACCCCUCUCUCAAAAUAUAAACGAAUUAAUUUUCUUUUUAUAUAUUUUAUUCUUUUUCCAAAAAUAUAAUACACAUAUUUCUUCUCUUCUCACAUACAAAUACUAAAAUAAAAUACAUAUUAACAAAUACC
Molecule: long non-coding RNA, 214 nt
Filed under: Capsicum annuum
Lineage: Eukaryota; Viridiplantae; Streptophyta; Magnoliopsida; Solanales; Solanaceae
Description: long non-coding RNA (CANN_LNC014928)
Source: RNAcentral